This 454-nucleotide ribosomal RNA is filed under the name uncultured bacterium. RNAcentral describes it as "partial 16S ribosomal RNA". It matches the Rfam family "Bacterial small subunit ribosomal RNA", at positions 28 to 507 of the family's 1533-position model. The record is from RNAcentral.
GAUGAACGCUGACAGAAUGCUUAACACAUGCAAGUCAACUUGAACUUCGGUUUGGGUGGCGGACGGGUGAGUAACGCGUAAAGAACUUGCCUCACAGUUAGGGACAACAUUUGGAAACGAAUGCUAAUACCUGAUAUUAUGAUUUUAGGGCAUCCUAGAAUUAUGAAAGCUAUAUGCGCUGUGAGAGAGCUUUGCGUCCCAUUAGCUAGUUGGAGAGGUAACGGCUCACCAAGGCGAUGAUGGGUAGCCGGCCUGAGAGGGUGAACGGCCACAAGGGGACUGAGACACGGUCCUUACUCCUACGGGAGGCAGCAGUGGGGAAUAUUGGACAAUGGACCAAGAGUCUGAUCCAGCAAUUCUGUGUGCACGAUGAAGUUUUUCGGAAUGUAAAGUGCUUUCAGUUGGGAAGAAAAAAAUGACGGUACCAACAGAAGAAGUGACGGCUAAAUACGUG